RNAcentral lists this ribosomal RNA (222 nucleotides) under Triticum aestivum (bread wheat). Its description in RNAcentral is "partial small subunit ribosomal RNA". The record is from RNAcentral. Lineage: Eukaryota; Viridiplantae; Streptophyta; Magnoliopsida; Poales; Poaceae.
AUGCCUGGCUUGUGCUUGGUGUUGUUCAUGGUGGCCCUGUUGCUUCCUGGAUCUGAAGGCAAAAUUUGCAAGGAGUAUAGCAAAACCUACACUGUUUCUGAAUGCACGAGCAAACCAUGCGUCGAGCACUGCUAUGACGAGGGUUUCGCUGAAGGGGAGUGUAAAACAAGUGAGUAUGAACUUGAUGAUUAUCGAUUCUGUCUCUGCAAGAAACAUUGUUAA